CAAGUGAACAACUUGCAACUUCCUGGCUGGAAUUUUCCGCUGUGCUGGAGACAGGCCUUUAGUACUAAGUCUGUUUUUAUAUCAGAUCAUCCGACACAAGAUUAACAAACGAAGUCGGCUUUGCUUUUUUUUUCAUAAAGACAAAAAUUUUUAAGUUUUAAAAGACUGUGCCUUAAAUUUAAUUAUUCACUUGUCUGAAAGAUAAAAUUAAAGCUUUGAAAAUUAUAAAAUUCGAAUAUGAUUUGAAGUGGUAUCAUACCAUCGAGGGGAAUGGGUCGAAUGUGGUCGAAAGCAAGAGCUGAAUAUCUUUGGUGGAUGGUUCAUACUCUGAAAUAAAAAUGUUUUGCCGUAUAUAAUGCGGAGGAGCUGCAUGAACUAUUAAAAACUAUCAGCAAGAGAACCGUACCGUUGGAAAGCCAGGUUUUAUCGCAGGACAGUGAAAAACAUUGACACACACUCGUCGGCUUCCAAUGCCAUCCAACUGGAAUCGAGGGGGGAAGGGAAAGAAAUCGAAAUAUCAUAUCUGUAUAUUUAUCGGGUGGUGGAUUUAUUAUAAAUAGCCACAAUGAGAACAGAUAUUUGAUUAGAAAACGGGGACAGAGGUACAUUAUUUCAGGUCUAUAAGAAUGUAUGUUUUAUCUUAGAAACAUGAACGCAACAUGAGCCAAGUUGGUAUUCAUGCAUUCAAAGGUGACUGUGUCGUUUUUCACUGGAAAAACAUUUUUAAAGUUUGGACUCUGCUCGUUUCGUGCCUAGAUAGGCUAUAUAUUAGGCCAUAACUCGAAUGCAUUUUAUCAAGAUAACCCAAACAAUUAUUGAACAGAUUCCAUAUUAUUCAUAGAAUCUUACGAAAGACGUCUCUAUGGACUAAUGUAUAUUAAUCGAUAUCCAUAUUUCAAAUUUUUCUUUCUUUGUCUGCAUAUGCUUAAAGUUCAUGCAUUUGUACAUUGAUAUGUAUUACCUGAUCGAAAUUAAAGAAACGAAAAACGUAACUAAUAAAAAAAAUCACAUAAACUUUAGUUGCUUGUGAUUACGACAAUAUGAUACAAGGCAUGUACAUAAAUACACAUAAAUACUUUUAUAAUACAAUGAUUUAGGGCAUGUACAUACACAUAAGUAGUUUUUUAAGGUAAUGAUGUAAGCACAACAAAUAUUUUACACAGCGAUAAAGACAAAGGGACAAUGAAAGAAAAAGAAACCAGAGUAACCUUUUUGUAGACGUACACGGAUGAAAUAAAGUAUUUAAAAAUUAAAUUAAGUACGUAAAUUUGUCAAAUGUAUGUACAAGAGGCGCGCUCUUGCCUUGACCAUGAUUUUAUUGUAUGGUCCAUAUGUAAUGUUCCUUUGUGUAUAGUUGUACAAAUUUGUGUGUGUGUUUGACUUGCUGGUACUCUACCUGUAGCAAACGGCCAGUGUUGCAAAACUAAUGAAGACACACUUGACGAUAACUGUUAAAAUGAUGACCAUGGUUAAUGUGCUGAUCCUAUUUUGGUCUGAGGUGCCUGCAAAUGGGGGUUGCGUUUUAUUUGGAAAUGAAAUUAAAUUUGUUAAUAUGCUGACAUUUUUUAAUCCCUAUUAAGAGCUAGAUUCUCCCAUACAAUACGAUUCGAAAGGUUAAGUCCAAUUAACUUUUGUAUGCAGUAUACAUAAAUAUUGCUAGUCGAGUAAUCCGACACUAUCGGGGGGGGAUACUAAUUUCCAAAACAACCGAAUUCCAACUGAGUUGAAAUUCUAGAUGCCACAGAAGGCUGUCUCGGUUGGUUUAAAAACUCUAGUAAUAGGACUAGAGAUUUGGUUAAACCCAUUUCACUCAUAGAGAGCGUCUUUGAAAUUUAAUGAAUCAGCAUAAUUAAAAAUUGUAUAUGUUUUUAUCCCUUUUUUUCUACUCUACAAAACUUUUUGUAAAAUUUUUGGCAGAAUUGCCAUUCGCUGUCGGCGUACAAAACCAGCUCGU
Drosophila obscura is the source of this 1954-nucleotide long non-coding RNA. RefSeq lists it as uncharacterized. NCBI's taxonomy places the organism in Eukaryota, Metazoa, Arthropoda, Insecta, Diptera, Drosophilidae. The transcript is spliced from 3 exons. The record is from RefSeq and is a predicted model, not a curated record.